GUUCUUCCGUCUGUGCACAAAAAAGGGCGAGAAUCAAAGGCCAUCCUCAACACCGACCCAGAAAACGCUCGGCCAUUAGCUGGAAAUGGGGAAGCAGAAGGAAAGUACUGCUAUGGAAAUCGAGGAUCAGAGUUCUAUUCCUUCUGACCAGAUCAGUAACCUUAAGUUCUCUGUCAAUGUGUUACAGCUUUUAAAAUCUGCUCAAAUGCAG
This 211-nucleotide unclassified non-coding RNA is filed under the name Hevea brasiliensis (rubber tree). The record is from RNAcentral. Lineage: Eukaryota; Viridiplantae; Streptophyta; Magnoliopsida; Malpighiales; Euphorbiaceae.